CCUACGGGUGGCAGCAGUGGGGAAUAUUGCACAAUGGGCGCAAGCCUGAUGCAGCCAUGCCGCGUGUGUGAAGAAGGCCUUCGGGUUGUAAAGCACCUUCAGCGGGGAGGAAGGCGGUGAGGUUAAUAACCUCAUCGAUUGACGUUACCCGCAGAAGAAGCACCGGCUAACUCCGUGCCAGCAGCCGCGGUAAUACGGAGGGUGCAAGCGUUAAUCGGAAUUACUGGGCGUAAAGCGCACGCAGGCGGUCUGUCAAGUCGGAUGUGAAAUCCCCGGGCUCAACCUGGGAACUGCAUUCGAAACUGGCAGGCUAGAGUCUUGUAGAGGGGGGUAGAAUUCCAGGUGUAGCGGUGAAAUGCGUAGAGAUCUGGAGGAAUACCGGUGGCGAAGGCGGCCCCCUGGACAAAGACUGACGCUCAGGUGCGAAAGCGUGGGGAGCAAACAGGAUUAGAUACCCGGGUAGUC
This 465-nucleotide ribosomal RNA is filed under the name uncultured Klebsiella sp. RNAcentral describes it as "bacterial SSU rRNA". It matches the Rfam family "Bacterial small subunit ribosomal RNA", at positions 338 to 795 of the family's 1533-position model. Lineage: Bacteria; Pseudomonadati; Pseudomonadota; Gammaproteobacteria; Enterobacterales; Enterobacteriaceae. The record is from RNAcentral.